CAGGGAUUGGGAUACAUAUUCCAUGUCUCUUUCUUGCUCACAUAUGGAAACUUUCUGUGUAAUUACAGUAAAACAUGAAGUGCAUGUAAAUCAAAAUAUGACUAAAUAGAAUUCUGCCAGAUAACCCAAUAACAACCCUGUACUUAGAAAAGUGAAUAGCCGUAGUCAACUAUGUCACCAUAUGGAGGAUGUGGUGGAGUGCAAGAUACUGAAGUAGUAGCUUGAGGAACUGAUCCAUAACUAGGAUUGUUGG
This 253-nucleotide unclassified non-coding RNA is filed under the name Hevea brasiliensis (rubber tree). The record is from RNAcentral. Lineage: Eukaryota; Viridiplantae; Streptophyta; Magnoliopsida; Malpighiales; Euphorbiaceae.